RNAcentral lists this unclassified non-coding RNA (260 nucleotides) under Hevea brasiliensis (rubber tree). Lineage: Eukaryota; Viridiplantae; Streptophyta; Magnoliopsida; Malpighiales; Euphorbiaceae. The record is from RNAcentral.
ACCAUAUAUUUUUUUUCCUUUAAGCAUUAGUACUUUUUGAACAGAAUACCAAAAAGAAAACAAAAGGUAAAAUCUGUUUUCAUCCCUUUUUUUUCUCGGUUUCUAUGGCCAAUACCCAUUAACUGCUAUAGCCACUUGACCUUUUUCAUUGUUUAUUGUGUCAUUACAUUUUGCAUAAAUGAUUCUUAUCAUUAAUGUGGUGGAUUCUUCUCCUUUUUUGUUUAACAUAUCUGCAAUAUCAAUUCUUUAGGAUGAUGAAG